UACGACGGGUACGGGUUGUGAGAGCAAGAGCCCCGGAGAUGGAUUCUGAGACACGAAUCCAGGCCCUACGGGGUGCAGCAGGCGCGAAAACUUUACAAUGCGGGAAACCGUGAUAAGGGAAUCUCGAGUGCCAGCAUAUAAUGUUGGCUGUCCAGAUGCCUAAAAAGCAUCUGUUAGCAAGGNCCGGGCAAGACCGGUGCCAGCCGCCGCGGUAACACCGGCGGCCCGAGUGGUAACCGCUUUUAUUGGGUCUAAAGGGUCUGUAGCCGGCCAAGUAAGUCCCUUGGGAAAUCUGGCAGCUUAACUGUCAGGCUGCUAGGGGAUACUGCUAGGCUUGGGACCGGGAGAGGUGAGAGGUACCUUGGGGGUAGGGGUGAAAUCUUGUGAUCCUCGGGGGACCACCAGUGGCGAAGGCGUCUCACCAGAACGGGUCCGACGGUAAGGGACGAAAGCUAGGGGCACGAACCGGAUUAGAUACCCGGGUAGUCCUAGCCGUAAACGAUGCUCGCUAGGUGUCAGUCACGGUGCGACCGUGAUUGGUGCCGUAGGGAAGCCGUGAAGCGAGCCACCUGGGGAGUAUGGCCGCAAGGCUGAAACUUAAAGGAAUUGGCGGGGGAGCACUACAACGGGUGGAGCCUGCGGUUUAAUUGGAUUCAACGCCGGG
RNAcentral lists this ribosomal RNA (664 nucleotides) under uncultured archaeon. RNAcentral's name for it is "bacterial SSU rRNA". It matches the Rfam family "Archaeal small subunit ribosomal RNA", at positions 259 to 922 of the family's 1478-position model. The record is from RNAcentral.